This 178-nucleotide unclassified non-coding RNA is filed under the name air metagenome. Its description in RNAcentral is "partial contains small subunit ribosomal RNA, internal transcribed spacer 1, and 5.8S ribosomal RNA". The stretch from base 1 to 46 matches the Rfam family "Eukaryotic small subunit ribosomal RNA", at positions 1786 to 1831 of the family's 1831-position model. The record is from RNAcentral.
AAGUCGUAACAAGGUUUCCGUAGGUGAACCUGCGGAAGGAUCAUUAAAGAUUUGGCCUCUGGCCUUUUCAAUCCAAACCUCUGUGAACUGUGGCCCUCGGGCCGAUUUUAAACAUUGUGUAAUGAAUGUAAUAUUAUUGUAACAAAUAAAACUUUUAACAACGGAUCUCUUGGCUCUG